ACAUAUUUUAGUGUCAUAUUCAAAAAAAUUAUUUAUUUUACUUUUAAAUCUAAAAAUAUAGUUUUUGUGUGCAUUUAUUAAUUUUAAAUUUAAUUAAAUUUUUACCCAUGAUUAACUUUUAUAUAAGCUGCACCUUGAUCUAAUUAUUUAAUAAUUUAAUUUACGAAAAAUUACUUCCUAAUAAUUUCUAUAAACGACGGUAUACAAACUAAAAAUAAUAAAAGAGAAACUAAAACGUGAAUUAUCAUUUAUAUCAUAGGUUUCUCUAAUAGAAAAUAAAAUACCGUCAUAUUUUUUAAGUUUCA
This 305-nucleotide ribosomal RNA is filed under the name Parabathynellidae sp. (Pilbara) 14 EM-2019. RNAcentral describes it as "partial small subunit ribosomal RNA". Lineage: Eukaryota; Metazoa; Arthropoda; Malacostraca; Bathynellacea; Parabathynellidae. The record is from RNAcentral.